GAUGAACGCUAGCGGCAGGCUUAACACAUGCAAGUCGAGGGGUAUAUGUCUUCGGAUAUAGAGACCGGCGCACGGGUGCGUAACGCGUAUGCAAUCUACCUUUUACAGGGGGAUAGCCCAGAGAAAUUUUGGAUUAAAUACCCCCAUAGUAUAGUGAGUUGGCAUCAACACACUAUUAAAGUCACAACGGUAAAAGAUGAGCAUGCGUCCCAUUAGCUAGUUGGUAAGGUAACGGCUUACCAAGGCUACGAUGGGUAGGGGUCCUGAGAGGGAGAUCCCCCACACUGGUACUGAGACACGGACCAGACUCCUACGGAGGCAGCAGUGAGGAAUAUUGGACAAUGGGCGCAAGCCUGAUCCAGCCAUGCCGCGUGCAGGAUGACGGUCCUAUGGAUUGUAAACUGCUUUUGACGAGAAGAAACACUGCUUCGUGAAGCAGCUUGACGGUAU
RNAcentral lists this ribosomal RNA (450 nucleotides) under uncultured bacterium. RNAcentral's name for it is "bacterial SSU rRNA". It matches the Rfam family "Bacterial small subunit ribosomal RNA", at positions 28 to 478 of the family's 1533-position model. The record is from RNAcentral.